GAUGAACGCUGGCGGCGUGCCUAAUACAUGCAAGUCGAGCGAACAGACGAGGAGCUUGCUCCUCUGACGUUAGCGGCGGACGGGUGAGUAACACGUGGAUAACCUACCUAUAAGACUGGGAUAACUUCGGGAAACCGGAGCUAAUACCGGAUAAUAUAUUGAACCGCAUGGUUCAAUAGUGAAAGACGGUUUUGCUGUCACUUAUAGAUGGAUCCGCGCCGCAUUAGCUAGUUGGUAAGGUAACGGCUUACCAAGGCAACGAUGCGUAGCCGACCUGAGAGGGUGAUCGGCCACAAUGGAACUGAGACACGGUCCAGACUCCUACGGGAGGCAGCAGUAGGGAAUCUUCCGCAAUGGGCGAAAGCCUGACGGAGCAAGGCCGCGUGAGUGAUGAAGGUCUUCGGAUCGUAAAACUCUGUUAUUAGGGAAGAACAAAUGUGUAAGUAACUAUGCACGUCUUGACGGUACCUAAUCAGAAAGCCACGGCUAACUACGUG
This 497-nucleotide ribosomal RNA is filed under the name uncultured bacterium. RNAcentral's name for it is "partial 16S ribosomal RNA". It matches the Rfam family "Bacterial small subunit ribosomal RNA", at positions 28 to 507 of the family's 1533-position model. The record is from RNAcentral.